This 274-nucleotide ribosomal RNA is filed under the name uncultured Lactobacillus sp. RNAcentral describes it as "partial 16S ribosomal RNA". It matches the Rfam family "Bacterial small subunit ribosomal RNA", at positions 264 to 526 of the family's 1533-position model. The record is from RNAcentral. Lineage: Bacteria; Bacillati; Bacillota; Bacilli; Lactobacillales; Lactobacillaceae.
CCUACCAAGGCGAUGAUGCAUAGCCGAGUUGAGAGACUGAUCGGCCACAUUGGGACUGAGACACGGCCCAAACUCCUACGGGAGGCAGCAGUAGGGGAAUCUUCCACAAUGGACGCAAGUCUGAUGGAGCAACGCCGCGUGAGUGAAGAAGGGUUUCGGCUCGUAAAGCUCUGUUGUUGGUGAAGAAGGACAGGGGGUAUAACUGACCUUUGUUUGACGGUAAUCAAUUAGAAAAGUCACGGGCUAACUACGUGCCCAGCAGCCGCGGGUAAAU